GCUGGGAGUGGAAGUACAGUGAUGUAUGGAGCGGACCAGUACUAAUCAAUCGAGGACUUAACCAAAA
This 67-nucleotide ribosomal RNA is filed under the name Vagococcus vulneris. Its description in RNAcentral is "Vagococcus sp. SS1995 partial 23S ribosomal RNA". Lineage: Bacteria; Bacillati; Bacillota; Bacilli; Lactobacillales; Enterococcaceae. The record is from RNAcentral.